UACAGGGUGACAGGUGGUGCCAUGGUUGUCGUCAGCUCGUGUCGUGAGAUGUUGGGUUAAUCCCGCAACGAGCGCAACCCUGACCUUAGUUGCCAGCAUUCAGUUGGGCACUCUAAGGUGACUGCCGGCUAAAAGUCGGAGGAAGGUGGGGAUGACGUCAAAUCAUCAUGCCCCCUAUGACCUGGGCUACACACGUGCUACAAUGGGCGGUACAAAGGGUCGCGAACCCGCGAGGGGGAGCCCAAUCUCAAAAAGCCGCUCUCAGUUCGGAUUGCAGGCUGCAACUCGCCUGCAUGAAGCCGGAAUCGCUAGUAAUCGCGGAUCAGCAUGCCGCGGUGAAUACGUUCCCGGGCCUU
RNAcentral lists this ribosomal RNA (356 nucleotides) under uncultured Anoxybacillus sp. Its description in RNAcentral is "bacterial SSU rRNA". It matches the Rfam family "Bacterial small subunit ribosomal RNA", at positions 1025 to 1382 of the family's 1533-position model. Lineage: Bacteria; Bacillati; Bacillota; Bacilli; Caryophanales; Anoxybacillaceae. The record is from RNAcentral.